Molecule: ribosomal RNA, 253 nt
Filed under: uncultured bacterium
Lineage: Bacteria
Also listed under: 1 other name
Description: partial 16S ribosomal RNA
Rfam family: Bacterial small subunit ribosomal RNA
Source: RNAcentral
UACAGAGGGUGCGAGCGUUAAUCGGAAUUACUGGGCGUAAAGCGCGCGUAGACGGUUUUGUAAGUCAGAUGUGAAAUCCCCGGGCUCAACCUGGGAACUGCAUUUGAGACUGCAUGGCUAGAGUAUGGAAGAGGGAAGUGGAAUUUCCGGUGUAGCGGUGAAAUGCGUAGAUAUCGGAAGGAACACCAGUGGCGAAAGCGACUUCCUGGUCCAAUACUGACGUUCAUGUGCGAAAGCGUGGGGAGCAAACAGG